Vicia faba (fava bean) is the source of this 201-nucleotide non-coding RNA. The record is from the annotation of a GenBank genome assembly. Lineage: Eukaryota; Viridiplantae; Streptophyta; Magnoliopsida; Fabales; Fabaceae.
AUGUCCUUUUUCAAUUCAGAUUCGUUUACCCUUGUGCUUCGAUGCUCCCACCACAGCCCAUUUUUCAGAGUUCACACCUUCCUCAUUAGCAGUAGCGUGUCUUUCAACACCACUUCCUUCUGUUUCAGCUUUGAUCUCACAACUUUCUCACCACUACAAUAUUUGAAGCUAAAAGUUUCUCAUUGUCUCCUUAGUACUUAA